This 775-nucleotide ribosomal RNA is filed under the name uncultured Neocallimastigales. RNAcentral describes it as "partial large subunit ribosomal RNA". It matches the Rfam family "Eukaryotic large subunit ribosomal RNA", at positions 22 to 639 of the family's 3401-position model. The record is from RNAcentral. Lineage: Eukaryota; Fungi; Neocallimastigomycota; Neocallimastigomycetes; Neocallimastigales.
GUACACGCUGUGACUAGCAUAUCAAUAAGCGGAGGAAAAGAAACUAACAAGGAUUCCCCUAGUAACGGCGAGUGAAGCGGGAAGAGCUCAAAUUUGAAAUCUUAAAGGGUUUCCCUUUACGAAUUGUAGUUUAAAGAAGUGUUUUCUGUUGAGGUUUUGGUAAAAGUUCUUUGGAAUAGGACAUCAUAGAGGGUGAGAAUCCCGUAUUUGACCUUUACUUUCAACUUUGUGAUACACUUUCAAAGAGUCGGAUUGUUUGGGAAUGCAGUCCAAAAUGGGUGGUAAAUUUCAUCUAAAGCUAAAUAUUGGCGAGAGACCGAUAGCGAACAAGUACCGUGAGGGAAAGAUGAAAAGAACUUUGAAAAGAGAGUUAAACAGUACGUGAAAUUGUCAAAAGGGAAGCGUUUGACACCAGUGUUGUUUUUCUGAAAAUCAAUUAAAGAACUGUUUAUGCUAAGUUGUUUAGACUUUAUCAGCUAACUGUUUAGUUUUGAGCUUUUCUUUAAUGCACUUUUCAGUUAACAAGUCAACAUCAAUUUCUUUUGCUGUAAAAAAGCUUGAGGAAGGAUGGCUUGAGAUUCGUCUUAAGUGUUUAUAGCCUCUUGCCUAUGCAGUCGGAGAGAUUGAGGUCUGCAGCGUAGAUCCUUCGGGGCUAAAUGCAUUUGUGCUAAGUUAUAGCAUUUCAUAGACAACUUGUUGACUAUGAUUUGUCUUGUAGCUUACUCGCCUAUGUUAUUUUACCUACGCUUAGGAUGUUGACGCGCGUGUGUGCGUG